This 570-nucleotide ribosomal RNA is filed under the name uncultured bacterium. RNAcentral describes it as "partial 16S ribosomal RNA". It matches the Rfam family "Bacterial small subunit ribosomal RNA", at positions 354 to 914 of the family's 1533-position model. The record is from RNAcentral.
UGGGGGAAUUUUGGACAAUGGGCGAAAGCCUGAUCCAGCAAUGCCGCGUGUGUGAAGAAGGCCUUCGGGUUGUAAAGCACUUUUGUCCGGAAAGAAAUCCUUGGCUCUAAUACAGUCGGGGGAUGACGGUACCGGAAGAAUAAGCACCGGCUAACUACGUGCCAGCAGCCGCGGUAAUAGCNUAGGGUGCAAGCGUUAAUCGGAAUUACUGGGCGUAAAGCGUGCGCAGGCGGUUUGCUAAGACCGAUGUGAAAUCCCCGGGCUCAACCUGGGAACUGCAUUGGUGACUGGCAGGCUAGAGUAUGGCAGAGGGGGGUAGAUUCCACGUGUAGCAGUGAAAUGCGUAGAGAUGUGGAGGAAUACCGAUGGCGAAGGCANCCCCCUGGGCAAAUACUGACGCUCAUGCACGAAAGCGUGGGGGAGCAAACAGGAUUAGAUACCCGUGGUAGUCCAGCGCCCUAAACGAUGUCAACUAGUUGUUGGGGAUUCAUUUCCUUAGUAACGUAGCUAACGCGUGAAGUUGACCGCCUGGGGAGUACGGUCGCAAGAUUAAAACUCAAAUGAAUUGAC